UGUGUUUACUCUCUCCUUCUC
This 21-nucleotide non-coding RNA is filed under the name Arabidopsis thaliana (thale cress). Lineage: Eukaryota; Viridiplantae; Streptophyta; Magnoliopsida; Brassicales; Brassicaceae. The record is from RNAcentral.